Molecule: small nucleolar RNA, 79 nt
Filed under: Choanephora cucurbitarum
Lineage: Eukaryota; Fungi; Mucoromycota; Mucoromycetes; Mucorales; Choanephoraceae
Description: Choanephora infundibulifera f. cucurbitarum A. fumigatus snoRNA Afu_300
Rfam family: A. fumigatus snoRNA Afu_300
Source: Rfam by way of RNAcentral
UGAAGUGAUGUUCGACUAUUUUWUAGUUGGAAUUACCGUCUGAAACUUCUGUAGACAUAAAUUGGCUGUUUUACUGAUC